AAUUCAACGCGGGCUAACCUCUUAUAUAAAUGCGGAAGUCAGCUUCCUCAUAGCGCAAAUGGUGUGUUUGUGUGUGAAUGUGAGAGCGUUGUGUGAGUGAAUGUGGCGUGAUUGUGUGUGUAUGUUUCUGUAAAAUUUUAAAACCUACACAGUGAUCUUAUUUGAUCCGGUCGAAGUUCGGCCCUGCUCCGAUCGGAGGUGAUAGGAAAAAGCGCUCGCGAGCCUCCACCAUCGUGGAUGGCGGUGAGCAGCCGGCGAGAAACAAGCUCCGGGGCCUCCACGCUUCGUGCUGUGGUCAGAAGUGAUGAAUUGAUCAGAUAUACUAGUUCUGGGUGGGCUUGGGGUUCGCCUUUAAGCUUCACCCGUGAGGACAAUGAGUAAAGAGGCGAUUCUGAUCUAA
Molecule: small nucleolar RNA, 400 nt
Filed under: Kryptolebias marmoratus (mangrove rivulus)
Lineage: Eukaryota; Metazoa; Chordata; Actinopteri; Cyprinodontiformes; Rivulidae
Description: Small Cajal body-specific RNA 2 (ENSKMAG00000007153.1)
Rfam family: Small Cajal body-specific RNA 2
Source: Rfam by way of RNAcentral